Crotalus tigris (Tiger rattlesnake) is the source of this 755-nucleotide long non-coding RNA. RefSeq lists it as uncharacterized. The record is from RefSeq and is a predicted model, not a curated record. The transcript is spliced from 3 exons. Lineage: Eukaryota; Metazoa; Chordata; Lepidosauria; Squamata; Viperidae.
GAGAAGAGAGAAGAGUCAUCCCAGGAGGAGAAAUGAGGAGGAGGAGGAGCUUCCUUGAUGUGCUGAUGAGCCCUAAGUAUCUCAAAGCUCAGUUUGUUAACAUGACUUGAAAUGAAGGAAAACUCCCCCCAGGUCUGCCCAGGAGAGUUUCCACCAGCCCAGAAGAGAGCGGCUUUUGCGGAUGUUUGCUCCCAUUCAAAAGUGGGACCAGUGAACCCAGCAGAAGGAUUCCUCAAGGCAACUAAGUCCCAGCAGGUGUGUGACAACACUGGGAUAACGUGAGUGGGACGCUGAAGGGCCGAUCUUCUCCAGGACAGCAUCUGUGCCCAAUUACCGAGUGGCUUUCCCAGAGAGCCCAAGGGCUGAGGAAGGAGGUGCCUCCUGGCUUUUUCCCAGAGGGAUGGCAUAGAAAGACUUCUCCAUAUCUGGAUUGAAAUUGGACCUUUUCCGUCAUGGGAUUCACAGGGACCUGACCAAAUUUUCUCCCUCCCCUGUUGCUUUUAAUCCUUCAGCCAGGCUGCCCGUAUUUCUACACAAAGCAGAGUCCCAGUGACCUCCAGGCCUUCCCGGGGCCAAAGGGGGGGGGCUGCUGGGGGAGGGGGAGCUGCCCCCUGGAUCUGACCCCUCCCCUCUUGUCCCCAGGCAGGAGGAUCGUGUUGGGGAGGAAGAGUGCUGGGACUGGCACAAGGGGGGAGGGAACCCCUUUCUUCCUGGCCCUCCAGCUGUGGAAAUUCCCCCCCCCCAAAGUGGGCAUU